AAACCAACAGGGAUUGCCUCAGUAACGGCGAGUGAAGCGGCAAAAGCUCAAAUUUGAAAUCUGGUACUUUCAGUAUCCGAGUUGUAAUUUGAAGAUGUUCCUUUGGGGAGGCGCCUUGUCUAUGUUCCUUGGAACAGGACGUCGCAGAGGGUGAGAAUCCCGUGUGAUGAGGCUGCUGACCUAUGUAAAGGUUCAUCGACGAGUCGAGUUGUUUGGGAAUGCAGCUCUAAGUGGGUGGUAUACUCCAUCUAAAGCUAAAUAUUGGCGAGAGACCGAUAGCGAACAAGUACAGUGAUGGAAAGAUGAAAAGAACUUUGAAAAGAGAGUGAAAAAGUACGUGAAAUUGUUGAAAGGGAAGGUUAUUAGAUCAGACUUGGUGGUGUGGGCAUACUUGUCCUCUUGUAGGGCAUUCACUGACCACGCACUGGGCCAGCAUCGAUUCGUGCGGCGGGACAAUGGCGAUUGAAUGUGGCUGCUUCUGCAGUGUUAUAGCUUUCGCUGAUACCGCCUGUGUGGAUCGAGGACUGCGUCAAUUUUAUUGACUAGGAUGCUGGCGUAAUGAUCUAAUAUCGC
RNAcentral lists this ribosomal RNA (573 nucleotides) under Komagataea pratensis. Its description in RNAcentral is "eukaryotic LSU rRNA". It matches the Rfam family "Eukaryotic large subunit ribosomal RNA", at positions 62 to 648 of the family's 3401-position model. Lineage: Eukaryota; Fungi; Ascomycota; Saccharomycetes; Phaffomycetales; Wickerhamomycetaceae. The record is from RNAcentral.